GCUUGUGUGGCGGAAUUGGUAGACGCGCACGACUCAAAAUCGUGUGGCAUUAGCCGUGUGGGUUCGAUUCCCACCACGAGCACCA
Molecule: transfer RNA, 85 nt
Filed under: Candidatus Coprosoma intestinipullorum
Lineage: Bacteria; Bacillati; Bacillota
Description: tRNA-Leu
Rfam family: tRNA
About the family: Transfer RNA (tRNA) molecules are approximately 80 nucleotides in length. Their secondary structure includes four short double-helical elements and three loops (D, anti-codon, and T loops). Further hydrogen bonds mediate the characteristic L-shaped molecular structure. tRNAs have two regions of fundamental functional importance: the anti-codon, which is responsible for specific mRNA codon recognition, and the 3' end, to which the tRNAs corresponding amino acid is attached (by aminoacyl-tRNA synthetases). tRNAs cope with the degeneracy of the genetic code in two manners: having more than one tRNA (with a specific anti-codon) for a particular amino acid; and 'wobble' base-pairing, i.e. permitting non-standard base-pairing at the 3rd anti-codon position.
Source: RNAcentral